AUACGUAGGGGGCGAGCGUUGUCCGGAAUGAUUGGGCGUAAAGGGCGCGUAGGCGGCGCGGUAAGUCUGGAGUGAAAGUCCUGCUUUCAAGGUGGGAAUUGCUUUGGAUACUGCCGCGCUUGAGUGCAGGAGAGGUUAUCGGAAUUCCCGGUGUAGCGGUGAAAUGCGUAGAGAUCGGGAGGAACACCAGUGGCGAAGGCGGGUAACUGGACUGCAACUGACGCUGAGGCGCGAAAGUGUGGGGAGCAAACAGGAUUAGAUACCCUGGUAGUCCACACUGUAAACGAUGAAUGCUAGGUGUAAGAGGUAUCGACCCCUUUUGUGCCGGAGUCAACACAAUAAGCAUUCCGCCUGGGGAGUACGGCCGCAAGGUUGAAACUCAAAGGAAUUGACGGGGG
Molecule: ribosomal RNA, 398 nt
Filed under: uncultured bacterium
Lineage: Bacteria
Description: partial 16S ribosomal RNA
Rfam family: Bacterial small subunit ribosomal RNA
Source: RNAcentral